UACGAAGGGGGCUAGCGUUGCUCGGAAUUACUGGGCGUAAAGGGAGCGUAGGCGGACAGUUUAGUCAGAGGUGAAAGCCCAGGGCUCAACCUUGGAAUUGCCUUUGAUACUGGCUGUCUUGAGUACGGGAGAGGUGUGUGGAACUCCGAGUGUAGAGGUGAAAUUCGUAGAUAUUCGGAAGAACACCAGUGGCGAAGGCGACACACUGGCCCGUUACUGACGCUGAGGCUCGAAAGCGUGGGGAGCAAACAGG
Molecule: ribosomal RNA, 253 nt
Filed under: uncultured bacterium
Lineage: Bacteria
Description: partial 16S ribosomal RNA
Rfam family: Bacterial small subunit ribosomal RNA
Source: RNAcentral